Molecule: transfer RNA, 77 nt
Filed under: Nanobdellota archaeon
Lineage: Archaea; Nanobdellati; Nanobdellota
Description: tRNA-Arg
Rfam family: tRNA
About the family: Transfer RNA (tRNA) molecules are approximately 80 nucleotides in length. Their secondary structure includes four short double-helical elements and three loops (D, anti-codon, and T loops).
Source: RNAcentral
GCCCGGGUAGCUCAGUCUGGAAUUAGAGCACUACCCUCCUAAGGAAGGGGUCGCAGGUUCGAAUCCUGUCUCGGGCG